This 138-nucleotide small RNA is filed under the name Pongo abelii (Sumatran orangutan). RNAcentral's name for it is "processed transcript". Lineage: Eukaryota; Metazoa; Chordata; Mammalia; Primates; Hominidae. The record is from RNAcentral.
GUAUUGUGUACUGAGAUCAGACUUCAGGGAUGAAGCAGCUGUAUGUUCUCAUGUCCUGGACACUACCACGUUGAUGGCUGUCUAAAUCCAGGAGCACGUGGCAAAGACUGGUCCUCACUGAUAGUGUGUGGAAGAUAG